RNAcentral lists this ribosomal RNA (427 nucleotides) under uncultured Aquicella sp. Its description in RNAcentral is "bacterial SSU rRNA". It matches the Rfam family "Bacterial small subunit ribosomal RNA", at positions 355 to 774 of the family's 1533-position model. Lineage: Bacteria; Pseudomonadati; Pseudomonadota; Gammaproteobacteria; Legionellales; Coxiellaceae. The record is from RNAcentral.
UGGGGAAUAUUGGACAAUGGGGGCAACCCUGAUCCAGCGAUGCCGCGUGAGUGAAGAAGGCCUUCGGGUCGUAAAGCUCUUUAGGUUGGGAAGAAGUGCAUUCGGUGAAUAUCCGAGUGUGUUGACGGUACCGACAGAAUAAGCACCGGCAAACUCUGUGCCAGCAGCCGCGGUAAUACAGAGGGUGCGAGCGUUAAUCGGAGUUACUGGGCGUAAAGGGCGCGUAGGCGGUAAGAUGUGUGUGGUGUGAAAGCCCCGGGCUUAACCUGGGAAGUGCAUCGCAAACUAUCUAACUGGAGUAGAUGAGAGGGUGGCGGAAUUUCCGGUGUAGCGGUGAAAUGCGUAGAGAUCGGAAGGAACGUCAAUGGCGAAGGCAGCCACCUGGCAUCAUACUGACGCUGAGGCGCGAAAGCGUGGGGAGCGAACA